Molecule: non-coding RNA, 114 nt
Organism: Acanthosepion pharaonis
Lineage: Eukaryota; Metazoa; Mollusca; Cephalopoda; Sepiida; Sepiidae
Source: the annotation of a GenBank genome assembly
UUACGGUCACAUCACGUUCAAGCACCGGUUUCCGUACAAUCACCGAAGUUAAGCAACGUCGAGCAUACCCAGUACCUAGAUGGGUAACCGCUCGGAAAUACCAGGUUCUGUAAG